This 253-nucleotide ribosomal RNA is filed under the name uncultured bacterium. RNAcentral describes it as "partial 16S ribosomal RNA". It matches the Rfam family "Bacterial small subunit ribosomal RNA", at positions 524 to 776 of the family's 1533-position model. The record is from RNAcentral.
UACGAAGGGGGCUAGCGUUGUUCGGAAUUACUGGGCGUAAAGGGCGCGUAGGCGGCACAGCAAGUCGGGAGUGAAAGCCCGGGGCUCAACCCCGGAAUGGCUUUCGAAACUGCUGAGCUAGAGUACAGAAGGGGCAACCGGAAUUCCCAGUGUAGCGGUGAAAUGCGUAGAUAUUGGGAAGAACACCUGAGGCGAAGGCGGGUUGCUGGGCUGAUACUGACGCUGAGGCGCGAAAGCCAGGGGAGCAAACGGG